CGGUAGCAUACUCACCUCUGAGUGGGAAAGAUCUGGGCUGAAACCUCACACCAGAGAACUGGAAAAAUAUACAGACCUGGCACCACAGUGUAAAAGGAAUACUACAGAGCAGGAGUUGACAUCUUUCAGAUGAGAUAUUAAACUGAGGCACCAUUUGCUCUUUUUGGAAGAUUCCAUGGCAUUAUCUAAGGAAGAGAAGUGGAUUUCCUGAUAGGAUUUAAUCAAUGCUUACCUCCUAGUCCAGGUCACCAAUUACCUUACCUGAUUGCUAAUGUUGUCCUCUCAGCUAAUUUGCACAAAUUAGCUGAUUUAAUUACUACCUUACUAUAUCUCAGAUUUUGUCACCCAAAAAGCCCCUGAAAUUUGACAACAGGCUUGGAGAUUGCCAGUGCUUCCGAUCUCCACCCCGGGGCCACCUUGAUGUCGAUCACAAUGCCAAGGGUCAGUCUGUACCAGAGCCGGGGAAAGGUCGAGCAGAUUCCGUGCCCCCAACCACUGAAUGUCAACCUGCUGGUGAGCCGCUGUCUCAGCAUCGGUCUCGGGUCAUCAGUGAAACGCCCAGUCGCCACAGUGGCCAAAACCAGGAGUAACUGGCGAGCCAGCCUGCAGCAUUCCACCUUACCAGCCAUUAAAUCUCUCCCAAACUCUCAGCUAGCAGAAGUGAGGCGUGGUGGGGAACACGGUAACUCGGAAACACGACCUGUCUUUGCACAACCUCUGCCUCCCAGCAACGUGCAGAGGAUCACCGUUGACCUUCGAUCAGCUUUAGCCAGGGUCCAUGAGCCCUGCGAGCACAACGAUGAGACCCUGGACGAACACACCGUGUUGGAAGAGGUGGGCAGGGGCGUUUCACCCAACGCCGGAGACACGUCGGCGUUUGACAGAAGUCAGCAGCCGGCAGACACCGGUAACUGGAAACCGGAUCCACACCCAAAGUCUGGAAAAAGUCGAAGUAACGAAAGGUCCUUUGAACGUUUGAAAAUCAAAAUGCCCUUGCCACCCAUAGCGAACCGUCCCAGUGAACGGGAACCGGCUCCCAGGGCCCCUCUCACUUCCUCGGCUCACAACCCAAAGGUCGGCCUCCUCCAAGUCACUAAAGAUGGUGCACUGGCAAACCCAGACCAUGACUUCCAAUCCGCCAGGCGCCAAGGUAACCAAUUAGUCCCAUUCCCGAAGAUAUUUCUAACAACUAGCCCGUCCAAUGUCUCGGUGAGGGCUGAAUGUGCAUCGAGACGAGAGGUGAGAUGACAUUUUACUGUUUUUCGUCCUGUCCGUGUAAGCGGACUUGACUUGGUUUUGCCGGCCACUUUCGCUUGGGUUCGCUUGGGUGUCCGUGUUGUUUUACUGCCCCUCCACUUUGCUACGUGCUUCGUAAUUCGGGCUAAUUGCUUGUAACUAUAACCUCGGGAUGUUCACGGUAAUUCGUCUUUAACUUUCUAUUAACGGGGACGUUUAUACCUGUUAUGUUACCGCUGAUGGCGCAGCUUUGAAGAAGAUCGAAGCCGAGUUGGGCAAGUGCUGAGACUUUAAGCAGUUCUUCCUUUGGGAUGUCUGCAUUAUGCCUUUCUAUCUGCCAGAGUUCCUUCCUACUCCGGGUGAGAACUUACCCAGAACGGGGAGGUAGACAACUGCCGUUGGCAACGAAGCGGGAAGACCCUCUCGUAUGUGGAGUGUAUGCGAAACCUGGGGGCGAAUGUUCACCUGAGCAAGAAGCUGUGGAUUAGUGCUGGGUUCGGCAUGCCACGCUUGGCGUGCGUUUCAUAUCUGUACAGCCAGAAUGGGCGGCAGUGAGAUCGCGGCCGUCACGUCUUGCCCAAGUGACACAGGAUGCGCCUGUGAUUUAACUUUUCGGCAGAUCUGUUAGGUUUGGGAUUUCAAUGACGUUCUUUCGUCCAUAAUAACCUUCCGUGGUUUGAAGUUGCACAAUGAUUUAAUAUACUACUAAAGGUUAUACCAAAAGUAUAAUCAUACAUUGGCUGUAUGAUUAACACACGUUGCCAUUAGGACCCUGACAGUUAGGCCUCCAAACUGUAGCUGGACUGUGGACUACAGAUUAUAACGGGAAAUAGAAAAGGCGUGUCAAAAGGGCAAUGUUAUGACAGACACAGGACAUUUUAACAUGCUGGUAGAUUGGAAAAAUCAGGUUGAUGGUGGAUCCCAAGAGAGUGAAUUUGUUAAAUGCCUAUUAAAUGGCCUUUUAGUGCAAUUUGUUGUUGAGCCUACUAGGGGAUCAGUUUAACUGGAUUGAGAGCUAAGUAAUGAACUGGAGGCGAUUAGGGAGAUUAAGGUAAAGGAACCCUUAGGAGCAGUGAUCACAAUAUGAUUGAGUUCAACUUGACAUUUGACAGGGAGAGGUUGAUAAGGAUGAUUCCGGGAAUGAAAGGGUUAUCAGAUGAGGAACGUUUGAUGGCUUUGAACUGGAAUUUAGAAGGUUGGAUGGUGAGGGGUGGGAUUUCAUUAAAGCCUUUCAUAGGCUUAGACAGAAUACAGGGUGGUUCUCCUCGACCCUGAGGGUAGCCUCAACAGGCACAAAGGGAGGUCAUGGACCUACAUGUUGGAAUAGGAAUGGGAAUCACAAUUAAAAUGUUUGGUCAUUGGGAAGUUCCGCUUUUGGCAGAUGUGCCUGAUGUCCGAUGGGUCUCACCAAUGUAAGGGAGGCUGCACCAGGAACACUGGACGCAAUAGACAACUCCAACUGAUUCGCAGGUGAAGUGCAGCCUCACCUGAAAGGACUGUUUGGGACCCUGACUGGAGAGAACCUUGACCAACCUGCAUGUUAAAGGAAUAGAUCAGAGUUUUGAGCAAUCUGUUGAGGAUUCUACAAUCCCAUUUCAUCAGCUGCUACAUCAGAUGAGGAAAAGAACGUCCAGUGCAAACCAUGUGCUGAUUACAGAGGUACUGAAGUGUCUGAGGGAGGAACUGUGGUUAACAUCACCAAAACCCAAAUGUGGCCAGAACGAAAGAGAUGCUAUUGGUCCUCUAUACAACAGAAGAAGUAUUCCAUUCUAUAGAAGGGCUGAGAACAGAUUGGAUGGUCAGGCAAGAUGCAUAUAUCAAUCUUCUCCCUUGAGGAGAAAUAAAUCACCUGUCAAGCUCAGCUUGUCCAAAAACAGGUCAUUGUAACAGUGUGGUAUUGUGCAUGAUAAUUACAGUGUGGAAGCAGCAGCACAAAUCACUUUAGAAACACUAUACUUGUGAUGGAGAGAGUGCAAGAAAGCAUCACCAAAAUUACUUUAGGGAUGAUGGUUUUGGAACAGGGUUGGGUGUGGUUUCCCACAAGGGAAUGCCAAGCAGACUGAGCAUAUACUAUCUAGAGUUUAGAAGAUUGAGAAGUGAUUACAUUGAAGCAUGCUGCAAUCAUACAAGCUUGGCAGAGUAAAUGUAGGGAUGAUGCAUGUCCUGGCUGGGGUGAUUAGGUCCACUUAUCAGGGGCCUCCUAUCGGUUGUGAAUCAUUGGAAUUCUCAGCCCUGGAGGACUCUGGAGGUUCAGUCACUGAGUAUAUUCGUAAUGGAGAUCAAAAGUUUUUUGGACAUUACAGUGACCAAGAGGUGAGUGUAGAAGGAUAGUGCUGAGGUCACAAAUAAGCGAUGACACUGACAGAGCAGGAUUGAGGGGCCAAAUUGCAAGGGCCUGGUGGGGAAGGACCACAGUCUAAGGUCCUUCUCCCAUGGGAGUCGAGGGGUGGGGGUUUUUAAAUAUGAAAGAACAAAGUGCCACAUGGGUGGCAAAACAUUAGAACUUUGAAAAUGUAAAGACAGUAAUGGUACCAACUGUAAAGAAUUGAAAGUCUUUGAAUGGUUAUUGUAUACAAUUUUAUAUUGGAAUAAAGUAUAUUUUGUUUAAUAAAAAGAUUGUUUUCUUAUGUUCUUUAUGGGCAGCUCUGGAAAACAUUUGCAUGUAAUUUUAAUUUCUUUUCUGCAGUGUAAAGAAGAUACUGCUG
RNA transcript from Hypanus sabinus (Atlantic stingray), 3941 nucleotides. RefSeq lists it as uncharacterized. The record is from RefSeq and is a predicted model, not a curated record. The transcript has 4 exons. NCBI's taxonomy places the organism in Eukaryota, Metazoa, Chordata, Chondrichthyes, Myliobatiformes, Dasyatidae.